This 250-nucleotide ribosomal RNA is filed under the name uncultured prokaryote. RNAcentral's name for it is "partial 16S ribosomal RNA". It matches the Rfam family "Bacterial small subunit ribosomal RNA", at positions 524 to 773 of the family's 1533-position model. The record is from RNAcentral.
UACGGAGGGUUCGAGCGUUAAUCGGAAUGACUGGGCGUAAAGGGCUGGUAGGUGGCAGCUUGAGUCAGCAGUGAAAUCCCCGUGCUUAACAUGGGAACUGCUGCUGAGACAGGGCAGCUAGAGUAUAGCAGAGGGAGACAGAAUUCCAAGUGUAGCGGUGAAAUGCGUAGAGAUUUGGAAGAAUACCGGAGGCGAAAGCGGUCUUCUGGGCUAAUACUGACACUGAACAGCGAAAGCGUGGGGAGCAAAC